GAGUUUGAUCCUGGCUCAGGACGAACGCUGGCGGCGUGCUUAACACAUGCAAGUCGAACGGAAAGGCCCCUUCGGGGGUGCUCGAGUGGCGAACGGGUGAGUAACACGUGGGUGAUCUGCCCUGCACUUCGGGAUAAGCCUGGGAAACUGGGUCUAAUACCGGAUAUGAUCAUGCGCCUCUUGGUGUGUGGUGGAAAGCUUUUGCGGUGUGGGAUGGGCCCGCGGCCUAUCAGCUUGUUGGUGGGGUAAUGGCCUACCAAGGCGUCGACGGGUAGCCGGCCUGAGAGGGUGUCCGGCCACACUGGGACUGAGAUACGGCCCAGACUCCUACGGGAGGCAGCAGUGGGGAAUAUUGCACAAUGGGCGCAAGCCUGAUGCAGCGACGCCGCGUGGGGGAUGACGGCCUUCGGGUUGUAAACCUCUUUCAGCACAGACGAAGCGCAAGUGACGGUAUGUGCAGAAGAGGCGCCGGCCAACUACGUGCCAGCAGCCGCGGUAAUACGUAGGGUGCGAGCGUUGUCCGGAAUUACUGGGCGUAAAGAGCUUGUAGGUGGUUUGUCGCGUUGUUCGUGAAAUCUCACGGCUCAACUGUGAGCGUGCGGGCGAUACGGGCAGACUAGAGUACUGCAGGGGAGACUGGAAUUCCUGGUGUAGCGGUGGAAUGCGCAGAUAUCAGGAGGAACACCGGUGGCGAAGGCGGGUCUCUGGGCAGUAACUGACGCUGAGAAGCGAAAGCGUGGGGAGCGAACAGGAUUAGAUACCCUGGUAGUCCACGCCGUAAACGGUGGGUACUAGGUGUGGGUUUCCUUCCUUGGGAUCCGUGCCGUAGCUAACGCAUUAAGUACCCCGCCUGGGGAGUACGGCCGCGAGGCUAAAACUCAAAGAAAUUGACGGGGGCCCGCACAAGCGGCGGAGCAUGUGGAUUAAUUCGAUGCAACGCGAAGAACCUUACCUGGGCUUGACGUGCACUAGACGCCGGCAGAGAUGUCGGUUCCCUCGUGGCUGGUGUGCAGGUGGUGCAUGGCUGUCGUCAGCUCGUGUCGUGAGAUGUUGGGUUAAGUCCCGCAACGAGCGCAACCCUCGCUACUAGUUGCCAUCAGGUUAAGCUGGGCACUCUAGUGGAACUGCCGGUGGCAAGCCGGAGGAAGGUGGGGAUGACGUCAAGUCCUCAUGGCCCUUACGCGUGGGGCUACACACGUGCCACAAUGGCGGUGACAGAGGGAUAAUCCCUGAAAACCGUCUCAGUUCGGAUUGUUCUCUGCAACUCGAGAGCAUGAAGUUGGAAUCGCUAGUAAUCGCGGAUCAGCAUGCCGCGGUGAUACGUUCCCGGGCCUUGCACACAC
This 1343-nucleotide ribosomal RNA is filed under the name uncultured Mycobacteriaceae bacterium. RNAcentral's name for it is "bacterial SSU rRNA". It matches the Rfam family "Bacterial small subunit ribosomal RNA". The record is from RNAcentral. Lineage: Bacteria; Bacillati; Actinomycetota; Actinomycetes; Mycobacteriales; Mycobacteriaceae.